Molecule: transfer RNA, 73 nt
Filed under: Felis catus (domestic cat)
Lineage: Eukaryota; Metazoa; Chordata; Mammalia; Carnivora; Felidae
Also listed under: 3 other names
Rfam family: tRNA
About the family: Transfer RNA (tRNA) molecules are approximately 80 nucleotides in length. Their secondary structure includes four short double-helical elements and three loops (D, anti-codon, and T loops).
Source: Rfam by way of RNAcentral
GCCUGGCUGGCUCAAUCAGUAGAGCAUGAGACUCCUGACCUUAGGGUCAUGAGUCCAAGUUCUAUGUUGGGCA